Molecule: long non-coding RNA, 403 nt
Organism: Bombus terrestris (buff-tailed bumblebee)
Lineage: Eukaryota; Metazoa; Arthropoda; Insecta; Hymenoptera; Apidae
Exons: 2
Source: RefSeq, a predicted model, not a curated record
AUUCCUAGGAUGAAUAUCAAAGAUAACUGAUUUGUUGGAAUGCAAAAUAAAUAGAUAAGUUACAGAAAAUAAAUAGACAAUAGAAAUAUUAUGUAGAAAAUUGCAAAUUAAUAUAAAUAAUAUAAAUAAUAAUAAAAAACAUGGCGAUACUAGCUGGAUAAUCACAAUUGCUUCUGCCACAAUAUCACGAAGCUGUAAAGGGAAUCGCAGGAUCUUCAACACAUCCAAACUACAUCAGUGACAUUAAUUCUAAUUACGUCUAAUUGGUUAUAAUAAACUACAGUUCAUUAUAUUCCGUGAACUAUAAAGAUGAUUGGGAUUUUCCAGUAUAUUUAUAUUGUAACCCAUGCUAUUAAUUAUUAAUUUUCUGAAUAAUGUACGAAAUAUAUUUAUUAAUUUCUAA